Molecule: transfer RNA, 68 nt
Filed under: chicken gut metagenome
Rfam family: tRNA
About the family: Transfer RNA (tRNA) molecules are approximately 80 nucleotides in length. Their secondary structure includes four short double-helical elements and three loops (D, anti-codon, and T loops).
Source: RNAcentral
AGGUGUAGCGCAGUUGGUAGCGCGCUUGGUUCGGGACCAAGAGGCCGUGGGUUCGAAUCCCGCCACUU